RNAcentral lists this ribosomal RNA (253 nucleotides) under uncultured bacterium. RNAcentral describes it as "partial 16S ribosomal RNA". It matches the Rfam family "Bacterial small subunit ribosomal RNA", at positions 524 to 776 of the family's 1533-position model. The record is from RNAcentral.
UACGGGGGGGGCAAGCGUUGUUCGGAAUUACUGGGCGUAAAGGGCUCGUAGGCGGCCAACUAAGUCGACUGUGAAAUCUCCGGGCUUAACCCGGAAAGGUCAGCCGAUACUGCGGGGCUAGAGUGCAGAAGGGGCAACUGGAAUUCUCGGUGUAGCGGUGAAAUGCGUAGAUAUCGAGAGGAACACCUGCGGCGAAGGCGGGUUGCUGGGCUGACACUGACGCUGAUGUGCGAAAGCUAGGGGAGCGAACGGG